RNAcentral lists this long non-coding RNA (1012 nucleotides) under Lepisosteus oculatus (spotted gar). Its description in RNAcentral is "lncRNA (ENSLOCG00000022290.1)". The record is from RNAcentral. Lineage: Eukaryota; Metazoa; Chordata; Actinopteri; Semionotiformes; Lepisosteidae.
CAGCUGUACUCUCUCUCUUUCUCACACUCCGCCACGCUCUCGCUCUCGCUCUCUCUUAAUUCCCGGGAGCGGGGAGAGAGUCCACGACUCGUGGGCCGCCCCCCCCCCUCUCUAACGGAGAGUACGCAGCUGGACUGGAAGGAGGUUUUCCAAACGCGGGACAGGCUCGGCCAGGGACCGUCCAGCCCGGUUCUUCCACGGAAAGCGCCCCGGCAUGAGCGCUUGAUCGGGACCGCGGGUGUCGGGUGUGUUACCGCGGAGUCGAGGGAGGGGGGGGUGUGGUUCAAGCGCGGGUGGGAGCACUUUCUGGUCACUCCGUUCUCCUCCUCCUCCUUACAGCGCGCCUCACCCUCGCGUCCAGCCCCCGCCCCCAGAGCCACACGCCGAAACCCCGGGUGUCGCCGCGAUGUAGACCGGGGCACCGCGGGGGAUGGCGGAGCGCCGGGGAAGGGAUUAGUUUGUGUGUGGGUUUUGUUUUUUGUUGUUUUCCGCCUGAUUGGAGAAAAGCGAGUGAACAAUGAGGACCUUUCGCUUUCCAGUCUGAAGUUGAGCCGGGCACAGGCAGUUUUUGGAUGGUAUGCUAUUGGGUGAAGGAGAGAGGACACCGAAGGACCGGAAUCUGGACAUAUCCCAAUCGGAACUCCGCUGGUAAUGAGAAUCUGCAGUCAAACGGUGUAUCGGUGAGUCACUCCACUGAAAAUAAUUAAUCUGCAGUGCCCAUAAAGCCCUGUGCCAAGUCUGGAGUUCAGCCUUCCAGCACCAUCAUCAGUACACAGGGCGUUUGCCCUCCAGAGGGGUGUAUAUGCUAGAAUUUGUUUACCAGAGCAAAGCUCUUGGUGAAUUGCCUUGUGCUGACCAAUCCCAGUAGGUUUCUCGGCUAAUGCAACGGCUACCUUUUAAUGAAAACAACCUGACAGGCUUUGCACGGGAGAAACCUAAUGAACGUGGACAAAGAAGAGAGCUUCCAUCCCUUCACGAUUUCAGGAACUCCCCUGGCAGGAGCAGGGAAAGC